This 351-nucleotide ribosomal RNA is filed under the name Triticum aestivum (bread wheat). Its description in RNAcentral is "partial small subunit ribosomal RNA". The record is from RNAcentral. Lineage: Eukaryota; Viridiplantae; Streptophyta; Magnoliopsida; Poales; Poaceae.
AUGCUGAUGGCUGGACUCCUAGCGAUGGCCCGCAGCUAUGUCCAGAAAUCGAAGACCAAGAAGAGGCCGGCCCAAGGAACAGUGCGCGACAUGGAGAAGAGGGUCAUGGAAGCGGUCCGGGCAAGGGAACGCGCCCGAUCAAGUUGGUUCAACAGGUUCAUGGCCGCAUCCGACAGGGUAGAUAAGGCUGUCGAAGGUUUCGUCGAGCAUCGCAUCAGCUUGCGCGCCGCCAGCAAAACGUCACCGUCCUUGUCUUGCAUCUCAUUAGCCUACGCACUAGCAAACUCGACGAUUUAUGGUCUCUGUUUGCUCUCCUUGUUUGUAUCAGUGUGCUCGUCAGAGAUCUUGUAA